Aquila chrysaetos chrysaetos is the source of this 5399-nucleotide long non-coding RNA. RefSeq lists it as uncharacterized. The record is from RefSeq and is a predicted model, not a curated record. Lineage: Eukaryota; Metazoa; Chordata; Aves; Accipitriformes; Accipitridae. The transcript has 5 exons.
CAGGAUCACAUGAAUCAGCCCAGCAGCAAUGGCACACAGAAACCUUCACACAUGACCAAAAAGCAUAACCAGAACCAGACACGAUACCAAUAUCACCAGCUCCUCAAAAAGCAAGAGAGAGGGUGAACAAUGUCCUGAGAGGCUGAGGACAGGCAGGAAGCACAGUAGUUAUAGAGGUGUUUUAUCUCCGUAAAGCUGGGGUUUGGGAGAUUUAGGAAAGCAUCAUUCCAAUACAUUUUUCAACAGAUCAGUUAAAAAUACAGCCUCGAGCUUUCAACCAGUCCUUUUUACGUGCAGUAGGAAGCUGGUGAUAAUCGAGCUGUCCAAAAGACGAAGCAAAGCACUCCGGUAUAUUCCCCUGCGUAUUUUUAUGUUAUUUUUGCCACUAGAUGUCUCUGCUGACUUCACAGUGCGCUGGGUGAGCCGCUCGCCCUGGUCAACAGGAGACACCAAGGUGGAAAUCAAGCUGGGACAAAACCUGCUUGUGACUUUCGUUCCUGGGGGGUUGUUUCUGAUUAAUAAUAUCUUCUGUUUAACACAGAGAUAAGAGUCUGAGAGCUUUCUCAGCUAUCUCCCUUUUUUCAAGUGUCAGAAUGGGAAUAAGACACUUGCUGUCAUCCAUCAUUACCCCUAUUUCAGAGUACUUGUUGCCUACUCUGACAUUUUGAUUCUCAUCCCCUUCCCAUCUCCCUGAUGGUCUCUUUGUUUCUUUCCAGGGGGUUUGUUCUCCUUGGAUCUCAUACACACCUACGAGUGCUGUGGACUAAGAGCAGGCAGCGUUGCCUCGAAAGCACCCUGUGGCCAGCAGAAAGGGCUGUGGGAUGCUGUGUAGAGCUCAGGGUGUCUGAGCAAAGCACCUUUUCGAUAGGUGCUAAUGACAGAUGUGAGAAUGAUGGGAGGGAAGUCAUGGGGACAACCUGUAUCAUCAGGUGCAGAUGUUGACUCCAAGUUCCUGUACUCCAAGAUUUGAGGGGGCUCGAGGUUGGAAACCAUGUCAGAUGGUGCCUAAACUGUGCAGUCCAGGAGCCAGGACUGGAUAAAACUAUUACAGCAGUGACUGUGUGUCUUCUGGAAGAGAGCUGGUUGUCUUCUGCUGGCUUACAGCAAGGUGGACAGGCUUAGUGCAUCCUUUGGCCAUGGCUGCAGGAUUGCCCCCGGUGACUGACAACUUAUACCGAGAGUUGUGGAACAGUCACGAAAUGGGAGGUGCUGGAAACUGCAGCAACUUUGAUACUAUAGCUCUUAAGAUGUAAAGGGUACCCAGCCCAGAGGUGAAACAAUGUGUGCCUGAGGUAGAAGCUGUGGCCCCAAGCGGGAUGCUCAUAUUGCCCUUGAUGCUACAGCAAUGCUGUGCCUGAGGUUUCUGAUAACCCGAGCAAGAGCAAGCCUGGCAUUCAUGGCGGUGGUUUGCACUUGUGACUGGAGCACCAGGGCUGCAGUGGAGGCCACUGCCAUUUGCCUGAGAUUUGAAAUCCAGUCCAAAAUGGUGUUUUGCCAUUGAUGUCACCACAGGGACUAGUCCCUGCCCUAGGAGACCUUCUCCCCUCUUGGAUGGACAUGAGCAUGCCCUGAUAGGUUUGUGAGCGCACGUGAAGUCUCAGGGUUAUAAUCUCUUCACCAUUACAAGGAAUAGAUAAACUCAGCAAGACUUCAAAAAAAAUCUUCAGCAUUUCCCCUUUUUGCAGCUCACCACUCUGUGUUUCCAUUCAUUCCUGACAAAACCGAGAAGCUUUCAACACCAAAUAACACCUUCCCAAUUUCACCGUGUUCCCACGACAGUUCAGGGCAGUGUCCAAGUGCAAGGAAAUUCCAGGGAUGCUCAGAGGCGUAUCUCAGGGGAGGAGCUUGGAAGAAAAUAUCACAGGGUUCAUGUUUUAACAGGCUACCCUCAAGAUAAUGGUGAGAAUUAGAGAGUUUUCUCCCCUUUCCAUUAUUUAGCUCUGUAUCUCAGCAAUUAUCAGAAAGGAAGUGCUGCAUGGGAUAGGUGGGGCUUUGACAAACAACGGUACGAUACAAAUUCUGGGACUGGCAAAUAUUGUCAAAAUAUCUUCUGAACUCACAUGACAGCACACUCAGUCUGAGUUUAAAACCAGUAACUGCAGGAAGAGAAGGUGGGAUCCAGAGCUCGGGCUGGUCCCCGAGUCUGAUAUGGCAUCUCCAAAUAACAGACCUGAGAACUGGAGGAAAUGUGGCUUUCUCCUCUCUUUACCUGCUCCUGGAAAAGCUGUGCCUAAAACUGACAUGUUUGCAUCCAAAUCCCUUUUCUCCUUUCUUCAUUUACUCUGCUUGCUUUGUUAUGAUUCAGGUCAGCAGUAAACCUGGGCAUAGGACUGAGUGGGGUUCUGAACUGCAAAGGGAUGCUUUCCCACUCUGGGGGUAAGGUAACACACUUAACAUCUCCGUUUCUCAGUUUGACCAUCUUAAAACAGGGAAUAGCAAUAUCGACCAAAAGAGGUUGUGACAUUUAAAUGCUUGACAAGUCCUGGGGGACAGAGGUGCCGCUGAACUGCAUGAGCUCCUGUGGCACACUGAAGAAGAAAACUAGUAAGGUUAUAUGUGCAAAUUGUGCUCCGGCAUGGAGACUAUUUCCAGGAAUCAAAUAUCAUACAAAAACCCCUCCCUUAAACUUGUGGUUGCAUCCAUGGAAAUUAAUGGCAUUAUCUGUGAUUUGUCAUAGAGAACUGAUAAUGACCUUAGCACUUAAAAGAUGUUACAGGGGGCCUUUUUCCCCUAUUUGAAGUCUGGGUGAGGCUAGCUUGAUUAUCAAGUUUGAUCUAAUUCAUCAUCCGGCUCAUUGACUUUCAUUCAGUGGUUCUUACAACGUGCUCCAAAACCUGUGGUGCCUGGACUACUUUGAUCAUACAUGGAGAUGGGAUGUUACAGCCACAGGUAUGAAGAAACCAAAUUGGCUAAUUCCUUCAUUAAAUCAGAGCAGAGGGAAGAGCUGGAACCCAAAUAGGGAUGGGACACUCUCUUUUUCUAGCCCCUAUCAGCUUACCCAUCCAGUAGCUGCUGUCUCUCCCACUGACUCCAGGCAGAUGUUGAACAAGCCUUGUUCAGGGUAGUUGAAUGCCUGGUUUAUGGACAGAACCGGUUGCACAGAAAAGGCCAUAAACACAAUGUAAAGGAAAAAAGAGGUGGGACUGAGUUUUUUGUUUGGGUUUUUUUUUAACGUCUUCCUUCUCCUCCUCAUAAAUAAUAUAGCCAAUUAGGUUUUGGGUUCAAUCUUGGUCUCUCUUUGCUUCCAGGCGAUCUCCUGAACCCUUGAUCCUCACUCAUGGGGUGAGGUUGGACCUCGCUUGGCCAGUGUUCACUGGUGAGGCUGUGGCACCAUUGCUCUUGCAAGCAAAUAUAACUUUCUGACUACAUCCACGCUAAUAACCAGCACAGGUCUCAGCUGGCCAUGCAGCUAAAUUUUAUGCAUGGUCCCUGGAAGAGUUUUGGCCGGUCCCAAACAGUCCAGAUAGUCUUCCCAGUGACGGGGAUGGAUGUGACCAACCUGUUCUGGGAAAAAAUAGAGAUUAAUGAUAAAGGUACAGACCCUUCCAUCUCAUCUGGCCAUCGGGCCAGGGAACAGGCCUUGGCAAUGCUCCUUUUGCUGGCAUAAACGGAGAUACUAAAGUGCCUGCUCUAGAAGAUGUUCUGUAAGAACCACUGAAUUCAAAGUUGGAGAUCAUAUCCAGGGUGGAUGCUGAACGCAAGGAUGCAGAAAAGAUUUUGAGUAAAGUUUACAAGCAGCUUCUCAAAUGGCUUGAAGAGAUGAGAUUUCCAAACUUCAAGUAACCCACAUCUUUUAAUAAACUGGCCUGAUAUGAAGAACUUCUUACCUGAUGAUUCCUGGGUCAGCAUUUCCAAACAAAGCAGGAAAAAAAAACAUUUCCCUAAGCUGAAUCCUCUUUCUGUAAGAGCAGCCUUCACCCCCAGGCAACUGUACCACCCCAUCAGAGCCCAGCAUUCAGCUCCCACCAAACAGCAGUGCUCGCUGAAAGCAGCCAAGGACUGGUGCUGGAUCAAUGAGGCAAAGGGAAUUCAUCCAUGGAAAUGCAAUCUGCAUGGCUGAACAUGGAUAAGGAGGAGACAGCAGGAGUGCUGGACAGGGUUGACCGUGCACCACAAAUUAGGGGGGGAAGAAGCCAGUGAGAUUUUUCAGACAGUCUCUCCGUGUGCAGUUAGGAUGAAGUUAAGCUCAAGGACUCGGCAAAGCAUUUGGUUGUAGAAGCAGCAGAAGGAUGAAGGCGAGUGGAGGUGCUCAUCACUGAGGGCAGUAGGAGGCAGGUAGGACACAUGUACAUCAGGGUUCAGGUCAACUGUAGCCAUCUAAGGGCUUCAAAUAAGCAUAGCUGACUGGUGAAAAGUGAGAUAUUUCCAGAGGGCGGUUGUAGGACUAUGUUAGAUAGCCAAAUUGGGGGGGGGGCUUGCUUAACCCUGAUGAUACCCUGCUCUCUGUUUUCACUGUGGGAGAGCACUAGGUGACCAUCUUCUGCUGGACUUAAGUCGAUGAAAACUCCCCCCCACCUCUUAUGGAUGGAAAAACCAGGAAAAUCCAGGCGUGAAUGCCCAAGUGACAGCUUGUAAGAGACACAGCCAACAAUCAGCUGCAAGUGUGAGAAGGGUGAGAACAGGAGGCUAAAAGAAGGGCUGCCGGGGUGCCAAACGGGAGAGAUUAUUCAAGUGGAUCAAAGGAAAGGGAAGCAGGACAUGAUAAUCUGGGACAGCCCUUCUCCAGGAUGGGAUCUAUUGGGCUGCAAGCUCACAUCUGCAGGGAAGCAGCAGGAGCCACAGGGACCGGCUCUCUUAAAGCAGGACUGGAUGAAGAAGCAAUGCGUGUGCUCUAAGGAAGAGUCCCAGAGCAGGCAGGGGACAUCUGUAUUGAAAGACAUCUCCAGAUUUUAUUUCGUCAUUGUUUUAGAAGGAAUAGUAGUUCAUCUGGAGACUGUUGGGACUAUUGUCAAAGUAAGGCAGUAAUCCAUGGAGCAAAUCCCCACCUGGCCUUACUAAAGGAGGUGACUUCACUACAGUGAGUGAAGCUGCUGCAGCUUUUCUCAGAGGAGGCUGUGAAGAUGCUUUUGGGUGAACGCGAGUCACACCACGGAUCCGAUUGCCACUUCUGAACCCUCUGGCUCUGGGGACCAUGAGGUGGCGCAGUUACCCUGGAUAUCAGAUCACAGCUGGCUGCACACUGGCCAGGGAGUCGGUGAGGUACUGCGGGACAAGAAAGAGCAAUCAAGCGUAUUGCGCUCUCCUGUUAGCAAGUGUGGACCUUGCAAGGAUCCCUUUCCUCUCCUUUUCUUAAAUAGGGCUUUAAAAAAAUAAACUAACGGCAAACGCAUUUUAUGUUUCCCCCCUGGAAAGCACUACAAGGACAUCGCUUGUUUUAUUAGCGGGGCAGCGGGAUGCAA